GACGAACGCUGGCGGCGUGCUUAACACAUGCAAGUCGAACGGAAAGGCCCUGCUUUUGUGGGGUGCUCGAGUGGCGAACGGGUGAGUAACACGUGAGUAACCUGCCCUUGACUUUGGGAUAACUUCAGGAAACUGGGGCUAAUACCGGAUAGGAGCUCCUGCUGCAUGGGGGGGGUUGGAAAGUUUCGGCGGUUGGGGAUGGACUCGCGGCUUAUCAGCUUGUUGGUGGGGUAGUGGCUUACCAAGGCUUUGACGGGUAGCCGGCCUGAGAGGGUGACCGGCCACAUUGGGACUGCGAUACGGCCCAGACUCCUACGGGAGGCAGCAGUGGGGAAUCUUGCGCAAUGGGCGGAAGCCUGAUGCAGCAACGCCGCGUGCGGAAUGACGGCCUUCGGGUUGUAAACCGCUUUCGCCUGUGCCGAAGCGUGAGUGACGGUAAUGGGUAAAGAAGCACCGGCUAACUACGUG
This 468-nucleotide ribosomal RNA is filed under the name uncultured bacterium. Its description in RNAcentral is "partial 16S ribosomal RNA". It matches the Rfam family "Bacterial small subunit ribosomal RNA", at positions 28 to 507 of the family's 1533-position model. The record is from RNAcentral.